RNAcentral lists this ribosomal RNA (756 nucleotides) under Entrophospora etunicata. RNAcentral describes it as "SSU rRNA". It matches the Rfam family "Eukaryotic small subunit ribosomal RNA", at positions 346 to 1097 of the family's 1831-position model. The record is from RNAcentral. Lineage: Eukaryota; Fungi; Glomeromycota; Glomeromycetes; Entrophosporales; Entrophosporaceae.
AUGGUGGUAACGGGUAACGGGGAAUUAGGGUUCGAUUCCGGAGAGGGAGCCUGAGAAACGGCUACCACAUCCAAGGAAGGCAGCAGGCGCGCAAAUUACCCAAUCCCGACACGGGGAGGUAGUGACAAUAAAUAACAAUACGGGGCUCUUUCGGGUCUCGUAAUUGGAAUGAGUACAAUUUAAAUCCCUUAACGAGGAACAAUUGGAGGGCAAGUCUGGUGCCAGCAGCCGCGGUAAUUCCAGCUCCAAUAGCGUAUAUUAAAGUUGUUGCAGUUAAAAAGCUCGUAGUUGAAUUUCGGGAUUGACACAUCGGUCGUGCCUUAAGGGGUAUGAACUGGUGUAGUCAAUUUCUCACCUUCUGGAGAACCGCGAUGCCCUUAAUUGGGUGUCACGGGGAACCAGGACCUUUACUUUGAAAAAAUUAGAGUGUUUAAAGCAGGCAUUUUGCUUGAAUACAUUAGCAUGGAAUAAUAAAAUAGGACGGCAUGAUUCUAUUUUGUUGGUUUCUAGGAUCACCGUAAUGAUUAAUAGGGAUAGUUGGGGGCAUUAGUAUUCAAUUGUCAGAGGUGAAAUUCUUGGAUUUAUUGAAGACUAACUACUGCGAAAGCAUUUGCCAAGGAUGUUUUCAUUAAUCAAGAACGAAAGUUAGGGGAUCGAAGACGAUCAGAUACCGUCGUAGUCUUAACCAUAAACUAUGCCGACUAGGAAUCAGACGAUGUUAAUUUUUUAAUGACUCGUUUGGCACCUUACGGGAAC